UUAGGCAGGUAAGCGGCAGGAUUCCCAUCGACUGCACGUCUGACUUCUAAUCCGACGGUCGCAGGUUCGAAUCCUGCAGGGCGCGCCA
RNAcentral lists this transfer RNA (88 nucleotides) under Sphaerisporangium rubeum. RNAcentral describes it as "tRNA-Arg". Lineage: Bacteria; Bacillati; Actinomycetota; Actinomycetes; Streptosporangiales; Streptosporangiaceae. The record is from RNAcentral.